Molecule: unclassified non-coding RNA, 253 nt
Filed under: uncultured Lachnospiraceae bacterium
Lineage: Bacteria; Bacillati; Bacillota; Clostridia; Lachnospirales; Lachnospiraceae
Description: contains 16S-23S intergenic spacer region
Rfam family: Bacterial small subunit ribosomal RNA
Source: RNAcentral
UACGUAGGGGGCAAGCGUUAUCCGGAUUUACUGGGUGUAAAGGGAGCGUAGACGGUUUAGUAAGUCUGAAGUGAAAGCUCGGGGCUCAACCCCGGGACUGCUUUGGAAACUAUUGAACUAGAGUGCAGGAGAGGUAAGUGGAAUUCCUAGUGUAGCGGUGAAAUGCGUAGAUAUUAGGAGGAACACCAGUGGCGAAGGCGGCUUACUGGACUGUAACUGACGUUGAGGCUCGAAAGCGUGGGGAGCAAACAGG